CCCCCCAACGUGCUGCCUCCCCGCCCCAUUUGUGUCCUCUGGCCAUCGCCCUCUCUGUUAACGCCCAUCACUGCAAAGACCCUUUUCCUUCAUCGGCGUUUGCUGUUCUUCCUGCCAGUGCGUGUUGCUUUCACUUACACUUGCCACAGCCAGCCUCGUGAGUGCCUAGCCUAUUGGAUAUCACUGUCACCUACACAGGACAGUCAUUACCUUUCUAUUAAUACUUUGUGGUUUAAUUUCACAUUAAUUUCCAUAUUGUAUAAACGACUGGAAAAAACUUGAGCCCCUGCCCCUGUAUAAUCAUGUGCAUGUCUCUGUUCUAGCUCCAAGGUGAAUCUUCACUGCUCAUGUUCUCCUCAGAAGCACUCACCUCACUCCCCUCAGGUUACUGUACACAUGCACCAACUGCCUGCUUCAGGUUUGGAUGGAGCUUCAUGGUUGUCUUUUGGAGAAAUGACCAGUCAAGUUGUGUUUGAAAUUUGAUUUUUUUCAGGGGCAAAAGGAGCCUCUGCAUUCUUGUCAAAUAUGUAAAUAGCAUGUUUUUGCAGGUGCUAAAAACCAGACUCUGAGUGUGUGUGUGUGUGUGUGUGUGUGUGUGUGUGUGUGUGUGUGUGUGUGUGUGUGUGUGUGUCUAUGUGUGCGUUCAAGUCACAUGACAUAUUUAACCGGAUGUAGCUGCAAGACGGAGCCUCGUUGACUCUCCGUUUCAACUUAUCUCAAAAGUGAGGACCUCAACCUAUAUACCAGUUUUUAAAUUGUGUUGAUAGGCCAAAUAAAACCAGAGUUAUGAUAAAUUAUGUCCGCGAUACUUUUUUUCUGCUUAUUUUGAUCACGUUCGGCGCUCGAUCGCGCUGUAUGAGACAGGAAAACAUAGCAUGCAGACAUUAGCGACAGGUCUUACAGGCGGAAAAGGCUUGCCAAAAGAAAAAAAAAACACACCACAACAUCUCUCCUAUUGGUGGAAAACUUCACCACAACAACCAAUCCAAAAUUAUAUGGUGACUGAUUGACAAGGGGCGGGCGCUUACGUUCUUCCUGCAACAUGAGAAGGGAGGGAGGGACUCUCAGCAGGGAUGCAGUCUGGGACACGUAGUUGCAAACCUAGCGACUUUGUUGUUAGAUUCAAUGACUUUUCAGACACCCUAACGACUUUUUUUUAGAAAGAAAGUGACUUUUAUCGACUUCUUCUGGAGUUUAGAGACUCUGACAUGAAGCAGGCUUUCCAUACUGAGGAGUUAGCAACGCUGCUAAGGGUGCAGAGCCACACAUGCGCUCAGAGCUCUGCAUGGGAGACUGAAGCUGACAGAGCUGCAGCAGUUAGCAGGUUUCACCCUCAGAGACCACCAGGGGUUCAUGUUGAGGCAUUUUAAUUUUUUUUUUUUUUUGUGCCAUAGACACUGUCAGCACAAUCUGCAGUUACACUAACAAAAAUGCUGCAAAAAACAAAGAAUUAUGGAAAAAUUACACAUGGACUGACAUAGAGGAGGAUCUACACAAGUUUUUUACAUCAUGUUUUACAUCAUGCAUCAUUUACAUCAUGUUUUUUUGUAGUGGCAUAAAUAAAAAGUGACAUUUGUGAGACUAUACAGUGUUUUGUAAAUAAUUUUACAAAGAACGCCUGGGCCAUUGCCUGCAUUUUGAUGUAAAUAGAGGUAAAUUACUAUGUUCUUUGUUAAAAAUUUGCAUAUGUUUUGAAGUUUACAAUUUUUAUUUGAAGUUUAAGUUUUAAAAACAGUUCAUCACACAUAUUUGUGGUUUAAUUUCACAUUAAUUUCCAUAUUGUAUAAAUGACUGGAAAAAACUUGAGCCCCUGCCCCUCUAUAAUCAUGUGCACGUCCCUGUUCUAGCUCCAAGGUGAAUCUUCACUGCUCAUGUUCUCCUCAGAAAUAGUCACCUCACUCCCCUCAGGUUACUGUACACAUGCACCAACUAUCUGCUUCAGGUUUGAAAUGGAGCUUCAUGGUUGUCUUUUGGAGAAAUGAACAGUCAAGUUGUGUUUGAAAUUUGAUUUUUUUCAGGGGCAAAAGGAAGCCUCUGCAUUCUUGUCAAAUAUGUAAACAGCAUGUUUUUGCAGGUGCUAAAAAACAGACUCUGAGUGUGUGUGUGUGUCUGUGUGUGUGUGUGUGUGUGUGUGUGUGUGUGUGUGUAUGUUGGCGUGUGUGUAUAUGUGUGUGUAUCCUGCAGUACUCUGUACUCCUGCAGUGGCCAAAAAGACUUUUAAGAAUGUGGAUUUUUGGGUCAUCUUUGGCGCCCCCUAGAACUGCAGUACUCUGUACUCCUGCAGUGGCCAAAAUGACUUUUAAGAAUGUGGAUUUUUGGGUCAUCUUUGGCGCCCCCUAGAACGUAAACCGUGGGGUGCAGCGUCAUGAUUUUUACAACUUUGAAUGGGCAUGGGGUGUAGAUAGCCCUGAGCAAAUUUGGUAUCGGUGGGACGAAAGCCUUAGGAGGAGAUAGCCACAUUCCAAUGUGUGCGAAUCGGCAAAAAAUGCAAAAUAGCCCUUUAACCGUACAUUAUACAGAUACGCGCUCUUUGACUUUUUCGUAGAUCUAAUUGAGAUACACAUGAUUGUCAAAUUUUGUGUCAAUAUGACAAAGCGUUCAGGCGUGACACUCAACAAUGUGUAUUUUUAUGUAAGGGGACAAGAAAAAAUUGCCUUUUUUCUCCUACCAUGGGGGGGCGCUCUUUUGGGGAGUAAAAAUUCCUUCACAAAUGUGUUGAUGGCUGGACAUUGCAUCAUCCUAGAAAACUUGGAGGCCAGUGAGGACAGAAAUAAAAAGUUAUAAAACAUUUAAGAAUGUGGAUUUUUGGGUUAUCUUUGGCGCCCCCUAGAACCUAAACCAUGGGGUGCAGCAUCAUGAUUUGAAUAACUUUUAAUGGCCAUGGGGUGUAGAUUGGCCUGAGCAAAUGUGGUGCCGGUGGAACGAAAGCCUUCGGAGGAGUUAGCGAAAUUCCAAUGUGUGCGUAUCGGCAAAAAAUGCGGAAUAACCCUUUAACUGUACAUUUGACAGAUACGCGCGCACUGACUUUUUUGUAGAUCUUAUAGAGUUACAUGUGUGUGUCAAUUUUUGUGUCAUUUUGACAAAGCGUAUAGGCGUGACACUCAACAAUGUGUAUUUUCACCUUAGGGGACAAGAAAAAAUGGAGUUUUUUCUCCUGCCAUGGGGGGGCGCUCUUUUGGGGAGUAAAAAUUCCUUCACAAAUGUGUUGAUGGCUGGACAUUGCAUCAUCCUAGAAAACUUGGAGGCCAGUGAGGACAAAAAUAAAAAGUUAUAAGACUUUUAAAUAUGUGGAUUUUAGUGUUAUCUUUGGCGCCCCCUAGAACCUAAACCGUGGGGUGCAGCGUCAUGAUUUUGAUAACUUUUAAUGGCCACGGGGUGUAGAUUGGCCUGAAUAAAUGUGGUGCCGGUGGAACGAAAGCCUUCGGAGGAGUUAGCGAAAUUCCAAUGUGUGCGGAUCGGCAAAAAAUGCGAAAUAACCCUUUAACCGUACAUUUGACAGAUACGCCCGCACUGACUUUUUUGUAGAUCUUAUCAAGAUACAUGUGUGUGUCAAUUUUUGUGUCAUUUUGACAAAGCGUACAGGCGUGACAGUCAAUAGUGUGAAUUUUCACCUUAGGGGGCGCUAUGGAGCCAUUUUGCAUUUUCUUGUUUGGGCGACUUCGGAAUAUCAAAUUUUUCACCAGGCCCGGUCGUCCUGCCAAAUUUCCUGAGUUUUCGCCAGUGGGAAGUGGGCCAUUUUCCAGUUCAAAGGGGAGGAAAAAGAAGAAAGAAAGAAACAAAGAAAAACCCCUACAGGAAUAACAGGGCCUACGCCCGGCUGCUCUGCAGCUGGCUCGGGCCCUAAAAACCUAUACAGGAAUAAUAGGGCUCUACGCCCGGCUGCUCUGCAGCUGGCUCGGGCCCUAAUAACUAGGGCCCCGUUGGGGCACUGGCGGGCCCGAGCCGUGUCGCGCCGCCCCCAACACGACCGCCUCUCCCUACCGAUCGCGUCACACUCAAGGUCCAAAGAUGGUGUGCGCACUUGUCUGUGGUCAUUUACAAUUAUAAUGAAUGGGAGGCGCAGUUUCUACCAAAACGCUCGCCGUAGACAAACUACAUGUCCUAUUUGAAAAGGACUGGACCAUGAGUGAGGGCACAAACACAGCUAGGAUAUAUCCAAAUGGCAAUUUGCU
Molecule: non-coding RNA, 4172 nt
Organism: Xyrichtys novacula (pearly razorfish)
Lineage: Eukaryota; Metazoa; Chordata; Actinopteri; Labriformes; Labridae
Source: the annotation of a GenBank genome assembly